ACUUAAGGAAAUAUCAAUAGUAUUUUAAAAUCAUAAUUUUUAUUUACUAUUAUGUGUGUGCCUAUAGUGUGGGGUUAGGGAUGUGGACCUGCUAUGGUGUAGAUGAAGAUCGGAAGAUGAUUUGGGGGAUCCAUCCUCUCCUUCUACCUUAUUGUAGCAACAUCUUUCUUAUUUUUGUCUGUUGUGAUUUAUCCUAAAGACUAGUUGGACUGCAAGCUUCUGGGUAAUUUUUCUACAUCUUCUUCCAUCUUGCCAUAGAAGAGCUAGGAUUAUGGCUACUGGAUUAUGAGUUCCAGAGAUUGAGCUCAGGUCAGUAAGCUUGCCUGGCAAGUGCUUUUACCUACCUUGUCAGCCCUCCUUAUAGGUUUUAUGUGAUUAUAUAUCACAGAUACACUCUAAUAGAAGCAUACUGGUAUCCUGAUUAACUAUCUAGUUCCUUAGAAUACUGUGAAAUCAACUGGCAGCCUUUGGAGGCUUCCCCAUGAUGAUGUGUGAAUGGCUUGGCACUGAGGUUUCUAUAGCCAUGAGGGUUUCUGAGUAUGUUGGUGCUAUACCCUCUGAUGGACAGAGAAUAUUCCACUUGAGUAGACCUUUAGAGAUCUUAAGACAGCCUCCGGUAUCACCAGAGAAAGGCCCAGGACCAUUGUUGACAGUCUAUUAAAGGUUAUAUGGCUAAUAAUUAAUCUACCUCAUCUUUCAUUCUGCACCCAAAUUCUCCAAGAGCCUUGUGAAACUCUCUUGUAACUCUUCUUUACAUUAAAGUCUUCCCUGCUCCUCCUUCAAUGCCCCCAAACACUUUCUGGUCUAGAGGUCAGUUUGUACCACCCACCACCACCACCACAGCUCCCUGAAUAUGCCUUCAUGGUUUAACUGUGGCGUGGUAGCAUUCUGGAAAUAUCAAUGGAUAUUUUUCCUUCUGACAUGUUCCCUCUUCCUUUUCCUGCCCACUGUCUCCCAUUCCCACUCAGUGUCCCACCUCAUUCGGGCAAACCAUCUCUGGAUUCAUUGUGUUAAGAAAGGUCAGAAAAUAGAAAUUAUCUACAGGGUUAGUUUUAUAGCUUCUGAAGUUUCCACCAGUUAAAGAACUUACCCUAGAACUCAAAAGAGAGAGAUGGUGCUUUACAUAUAGAAAGAAGAAGGUAACACGUCUCUUGAGAAGGGGAAGCCCUCAUGUCAUUGUCAUCAGAGGAGGGCAGGAUCAGAAGGCCUGAAAUUCCUCCCCAGAUGAACAUCCAUAGCCAAGUCCUACUAGACUGUGAGGACAAUGAAGCUGUCUACUGCCUAUUGUGGGUAAGAGGGUUUCUUUCCACUAUUUGGGUGCUAUGGUUCUGUAAGAACCUAGAGAUGGAGAAAAACUCCACUGGAACCUGGAGGAAACUAUAAGACUUGUCCGAACCAUGCCUCAUUUGCAGAAACAUCUUGUGGCAAAGGCAACUGGAAAGCAUAAAGCUGAGGAAUGGUCCUGUUGAUCCCUGACUCUCUUUGACUUAGAUAUGGGAUAGAAAAACUUCACUACUGGAGACAACUACAUCAUCUCAGAUUUGGUACCUGAGGAAUCUACUUUCUCCAUUCAUUUCUCCCUUUCCUAGCUGAUUUCCCAUCUCUGAAGUUCUGAAACUGCCUCCAUUUGCUUGUCUUUUCUCAAAGAUCCCCAUCCUCUACUGAAGAUGCUAUAGAAACCAGACUCCUAAGUCAUUUAAAAUAUGUUCCCAUGUGAUUUCUCCUGUUCAAUGGGCAUCUCUUAAUAAGCAAUAAACUUGUUCUCCUUUCAUAAUCUGUCUUCUGUAACUAUCCCAAACCUGAAUUAAAUUUCCUGCUAUCUUGAUGAGAAUAGGGUUGUAGGUGUAGAAUAAUAGCUGUGUUCUUUAGUCUUAAGCAAGUAGGCCCUUGAUAUACUCUCAAGAGCCUAUGUUGGCAUGCUUUGUAUGACUUCUCUUAUAGACACUGGAGUAUGGAAUUGACAUAUGUCCCUGUGUGCUAGGAAUCCUAUUAACAAGAGCAUGAUGCCCAUGGAAAAAGAGCCAAGUUUCUCUUGGAAGCUGCCUAUUUAAUAUACAUGAUGCAUGACAGGGCAGCCAAGAGGCCAAGAUCUUUAGUUGGGGUUAAUAAUGGAGGCUGCUUUCAACUGCUUAGAACAAAUAUUGAAGAUAGACUCUGUACUGCUUGAUAUUAUCUAAAUGAUUUUCAGUUGUUUGCUUUCAUUUAUGCCCUUUCUUCUGCACUUUGUUUUUUCUACAAUUCCUCCCCUUCUUAUUUCAUUUUUGUAGAAUUGGUAUUGAACCCAAGACUUUAUAUAUGCCAGGCAUGCACUUUAUCAUCUGACCUCCAUCUCCAGCUCCUCCUCCUCAUUCUCUUCAUAUUUUCUUCCUCCUCUUCCUGGGGGUGAAUUGAACCAGCAGUCGGAUUCUGAACCACACAUGAGAGAGAGCAACUGCCCUCCUCUUUCUUUAAAUGGAUUAUAGCAACAGACAAGAAGUUCUGCCUCUAUUGGUCUAGAAAGCCCAAAGUCAUAGACAGGGCUACCCAUUACAAUUCUGUAUUAAAGAAAGACAGGGGAAAGAAAAGGAGGAGGAAAAAGAAGAGGAGAAUUUAAUCCUACUCCCUAGCUAUGCUUUUUUUUUUUACCAGAGCUCGUGUUUUAUCUGGUGUUCUAUUGUUUGUGAAAGCAGCACCUGGGAAAUGGGAAGCGCUGGUCAAGAUGGAAGCCUGGGCACAGGAGCUUACCAUCAUCUGCCAGUGACUCCAUCAACAAAAGACAAUGUUGAAGUGCAAAAGAAAUAACCUGUGAUGAUGAUCAAGUUGGAGAGGGAAUUCUCUUGUAUGUGGAAGACUUUGGCACAUUCUUUAAGGAUGUAAUCAGAUGGAGGUACAGAAUCCAGAUACAGGUGGCUAACUGCCUAUGAAAACACUUGCCACAUAAUAUUUCAGUGAUGGACAACAAGUAGUCAUGGGCAAUGAUGGCAGAGUAAUGAAUGCAAGAAGAAGCAGUAGAGUACGGUGUGCAAGGAACCCACUGAGGCAACUCUUCCUUCCUGGGUUAUAGGGAGUAAUUUUACGUAUUCAUCGAUGGCUAUGCUAAGCUGCUCUGAGCAGACCUCUGCUGUCUCCAGUAAGAACAAAACAAACACAACAAAUGGAAAUCUACUUGAAAAGAAAAAUUAUAACAAAGUCCAAAAUAGCUGCUUUUUUCCCUGAAGGUAAAUCCCAGAAGAUGGAACUCGUGCCUGGUGCUGUUAACUGAGGCAAAAAAAAACAAAAACAAAAACAAAAACAAAAAACCAGUGCUUGGUAUAUCAUGGGCUCUAGAAGAAAAUCUACUAAAAUCUACUACAAAUAUUCUACUAAUGAAGAUACUAUAAGUUGUCUCUACAUACUAAUUUUUCUACCCAUUGAUUAAUGUAGCUAUCAACCAUCAUCAAAGAAGCUUCUCUCUGCAGCAGAUGAUGAUUCACAACUGAUCAUUGUGUUAAGAAUAAGACUGUGGAGUUCUCAGCCUAAGUAGGAGACCUAUAGUACUCUCUGUCCCCCAAUUCUCAAGGAUCAUCAUGGAAGAGAGAGCAUAAAAACUGUAAGAUCCAGAGGUAGCAGAUGACUACAGUGAAACAGUAGCCUAAACGCCAGCAUGGAUGAGAAAGGGACUUUUUAAAUACUACUCCUAAUUGAGGAGCUAUUGGUGACUGGUGGGGAUAUGAGAAUCUAUUUUCUUCAUCUGUGACCCCUGACAUGCUGCCUGUGUUCCAGUGGAUGAGCCCUCACCUAGACGUAUACAGGCAACAGUAAGAAGACGUAGCAUGGGACUGACAUAGGCCCUCUGCAUCUGGGUGACAAUUGGAUAGCUUGGUCUUUUGUGGGACCCCCUAACAGUGGGAUCAGGACCUGUCCCCUGAUGCAUGAGCUGGCUCUUUGGAACCUAUUCCCUAUGGUGGGAUGCCUUGUUCAGCCUUGAUGAGGGUGAGGAGUUUGGUCCUGCCUCAGCUUGAUGUGCUAUGCUUUGUUAAUUCCUACGGGAAGCCUUACCCAAUCUAAGUGAAGACAAAGGAGGAGUGGGUGGGGGGAGGUGGUGGGAGGAAGCAGGAGUAGAGAAGGAAGGGGAAACCGGUUGGUAUGUAAAAUAAAUUUUUUAAAUGACAGGAAAAAAAAAGAAAACUCAGUAGGUUUAGAAAAAAAGGAGUACACAAAAUUGGGUUGAUCUUGUACAAGUCUCACUCAUUCAGUCCCAGCCGAUUCCAGUUCAUGUAUGCAACAGCCCUGUUAUGUCUGGAAAGCGCUGUUUGACUGUAGUCAUCCUCUCAUUCUUAUGAUCUUUCUGCUCCCUCAGCCUUGGGAAGAAGGGAGGUGAUAUAGAUGUUUCAUUCUAAGCCCUCCACAGUCCCAUUCUCUGCACUUUGACCAUUGUACUUCUCUAUACUUCUCCAUCUCCUACAAGAUAGAAGCUUCUCUACUGAGGGCUGACUGUUGUGCUAAUCUAUGGGCCUAAAGAAAAAUAUUUAGGAGGCAAUUUAGUAUUGUGUGCAUUUAGCAGAACAAUAUAGUAGGUUCUUCCCUAGGGCUUAUGAGCUAUCAAGUCAUGAGUUCUUGGCUCAGCUAAAAUACCAGGCAUGAGCUCUUAAAUCGAGCUUCUGGAAUGGACCUUAAAUCGAGUUUUUUAAAGUUGCUGGUAACUCUGACAAUAUUCAUGUCAUUAUUGCACUAAUGGGCAUAUCUUGCCAAAUCACUUGGUACUGAAGCUUGCAGUGUUCACAGCCGGGUAAGACUGUUGAUUACUUUCUUCCAUGGUAGUGAGCGUAGUACCCUCUGACACUGUGAAAGAUAGCCAGAAAGGAGGAAGCUUCCAGGUUUGUACCAACUGAAUUCUCCAUGUUCUGUCACUCAAAUAUGUGGGACUUACCACCAAGUUCUGGGAAUUAAUCAAGAUCAAUGACAAUAGUCUGUACUGUUUGAGGUCUAUCAAAUUCUGCUACCAACAAUUCAAGAAAAGGUAACCCACACUUGUCACUAGACUUUUGAUUUGAUAGCCUAUGACAUUUGGGAGUAGUAUUGUCUCCCCAUUAUAGGAUAAUUAAUUUUUAAACUAUAUAUGGAUUUUAGAGAGCUUCAAUAAUAGCUGGUUUCCAUAUUUUUCAAAGUUAUUUAAUGUUAGAUCAAUAGAAGCACAGAAACAAACCAAGUAAUGUUGAGAACAUGUUAAAUGACAGAAAUACAAGUGAAAGAGAAAAAAGAAAACUUAAAAUAACUAUAUAUUUGGAAAUCUUCAUAACAUAAGAAAAAUGUCAACUUUGCGGCACAUAAAAAUACAAAUCUAAAGUAAUUUUAAAACCAGACAAGAAAGCUAGGCAGUAGUGUCCCAUGCCUUUAAUCCCAGGACUCAUGAGGCAGAAGCAGGUGGAUCUCUGAGGUUGAAGUCAGCCUGGUCUAUAUAGUGAGUUCCAGGAUACCCACAGAUAC
Long non-coding RNA from Mesocricetus auratus (golden hamster), 5445 nucleotides. RefSeq lists it as uncharacterized. The transcript is spliced from 4 exons. NCBI's taxonomy places the organism in Eukaryota, Metazoa, Chordata, Mammalia, Rodentia, Cricetidae. The record is from RefSeq and is a predicted model, not a curated record.